CAAGUCGAGCGCGAAAGGGGAGCAAUCCCCAAGUAGAGCGGCGAACGGGUGAGUAACGCGUGGGUGAUCUACCUUCGAGUGGGGAACAACAGUGGGAAACUGCUGCUAAUACCGCAUGACAUCUUCGGGUCACAUCGAAGAUCAAAGCCGGGGACCGCAAGGCCUGGCGCUUGAAGAGGAGCCCGCGUCCGAUUAGCUAGUUGGCGGGGUAAUGGCCCACCAAGGCUUCGAUCGGUAGCCGGCCUGAGAGGGCGGACGGCCACACUGGGACUGAGACACGGCCCAGACUCCUACGGGAGGCAGCAGUGGGGAAUUUUUCGCAAUGGGCGAAAGCCUGACGAAGCAACGCCGCGUGGGGGAUGAAGGUCUUCGGAUCGUAAACCCCUGUCGACCGGGACGAAAGCACCCGACCUAACACGUCGGAGUGUUGACUGUACCGGUGGAGGAAGCCACGGCUAACUCUGUGCCAGCAGCCGCGGUAAUACAGAGGUGGCAAGCGUUGUUCGGAAUUACUGGGCGUAAAGGGCGCGUAGGCGGUUUCGUAAGUCCCGUGUGAAAGCCCCCGGCUCAACCGGGGAACUGCACGGGAAACUGCGAGGCUUGAGUUCGGGAGAGGGAAGCGGAAUUCCGGGUGUAGCGGUGAAAUGCGUAGAUAUCCGGAGGAACACCAGUGGCGAAGGCGGCUUCCUGGACCGAUACUGACGCUGAGGCGCGAAAGCUAGGGGAGCAAACGGGAUUAGAUACCCCGGUAGUCCUAGCUGUAAACGAUGAGUGCUGGGUGUAGGAGGUAUCAACCCCUCCUGUGCCGAAGCUAACGCAUUAAGCACUCCGCCUGGGGAGUACGGUCGCAAGGCUGAAACCCAAAGGAUUUGACGGGGGCCCGCACAAGCGGUGGA
RNAcentral lists this ribosomal RNA (896 nucleotides) under uncultured Acidobacteriota bacterium. RNAcentral describes it as "bacterial SSU rRNA". It matches the Rfam family "Bacterial small subunit ribosomal RNA", at positions 58 to 936 of the family's 1533-position model. Lineage: Bacteria; Pseudomonadati; Acidobacteriota. The record is from RNAcentral.